This 468-nucleotide ribosomal RNA is filed under the name uncultured bacterium. RNAcentral's name for it is "partial 16S ribosomal RNA". It matches the Rfam family "Bacterial small subunit ribosomal RNA", at positions 28 to 507 of the family's 1533-position model. The record is from RNAcentral.
GAUGAACGCUGGCGGCGUGCCUAACACAUGCAAGUCGAACGGAAAGACUCUGCUUUGGUGGGGUGCUGGAGUGGCGAACGGGUGAGUAACACAUAAGCAACCUACCCACGAAGUCGGGAUAAAUCCAGGAAACUGGGGACAAAAACCGGAAAGAGAAUCUGAUGCAUGGUGGGGGUUGGUAAGGUUCGGAGGUGGGGGUUGGGUUGCCGGUUGAGCAGCUGGUUGUUGGGGUGGUGGCUUACCAAGACGACGAAGGGUCGUCGGCGCGAGAGGGUGACCGGCCACAUUGGGACUGAGAUACGGCACGGACUCGUACGGGAGGCAGCGGUGGGGAAUAUUGCACGAUGGGCGGACGCCUGAUGCGGCAACGCCGCGUGCGGGAUGACAGGCUUCGGUGUAUGAACAGCUUUGGACUGAGACGAUACGUAAAUGACGGUAAUGGAUAAGGAAGCCACGGCUAACUACGUG